GUUGUUAUAGCACUAGUAGUGUAUUUGGUUUAAGAUCAAAAGGUUUUUUUCAAUU
RNAcentral lists this transfer RNA (55 nucleotides) under Diploscapter coronatus. Its description in RNAcentral is "tRNA-Leu". RNAcentral also lists the same sequence under 1 other name. The record is from RNAcentral. Lineage: Eukaryota; Metazoa; Nematoda; Chromadorea; Rhabditida; Rhabditidae.